UUGGAGGGCAAGUCUGGUGCCAGCAGCCGCGGUAAUUCCAGCUCCAAUAGCGUAUAUUAAAGUUGUUGCAGUUAAAAAGCUCGUAGUUGAGUUUCGGGGUCAGUAGGUUGGUCAUGCCACUGGUAUGUACUGGUCUCACUGAUUCCUCCUUCCUGAUGAGCCGUAAUGCCAUUAAUUUGGUGUUGCGAGGAAUCUGGACUGUUACUUUGAAAAAAUUAGAGUGUUUAAAGCAAGCUAACGCUUGAAUACAUUAGCAUGGAAUAAUGAAAUAGGACGUUCGAUCCUAUUUUGUUGGUUUCUAGGAUUGACGUAAUGAUUAAUAGGGAUAGUUGGGGGCAUUAGUAUUCAAUUGUCAGAGGUGAAAUUCUUGGAUUUAUUGAAGACUAACUACUGCGAAAGCAUUUGCCAAGGAUGUUUUCAUUAAUCAAGAACGAAAGUUAGGGGAUCGAAGACGAUCAGAUACCGUCGUAGUCUUAACCAUAAACUAUGCCGACUAGGGAUCGGAUGAUGUUAAUUUUUUAAUGACUCAUUCGGCGCCUUACGGGAAAC
RNAcentral lists this ribosomal RNA (549 nucleotides) under uncultured Glomeromycotina. RNAcentral describes it as "SSU rRNA". It matches the Rfam family "Eukaryotic small subunit ribosomal RNA", at positions 548 to 1098 of the family's 1831-position model. The record is from RNAcentral. Lineage: Eukaryota; Fungi; Glomeromycota.